This 112-nucleotide ribosomal RNA is filed under the name Polulichloris maxima. The record is from RNAcentral. Lineage: Eukaryota; Viridiplantae; Chlorophyta; Trebouxiophyceae; Watanabeales; Watanabeaceae.
GGUGCCCUCGUUAAAUUAGAACCACGCCAAUCCAUCUCGAACUUGGUAGUGAAAUGAUUUGAAGGCAACAAUACUUAUAGGGAAGCCUAUCGGAAAAAUAGUUUGGUGCCUG